Long non-coding RNA from Esox lucius (northern pike), 4221 nucleotides. The record is from Ensembl. NCBI's taxonomy places the organism in Eukaryota, Metazoa, Chordata, Actinopteri, Esociformes, Esocidae.
ACCCGGACCAUGUGCCACAGGCGUCCUACAGCCCGUCACAGCUGCCAGCUGUGGAAACGGCAGUGCUUCGGAGAGGUGUGCUGCCACAGGCGAAGUCCGUGGAGAGCGUGAACUCACGAUGCCAGGAGACCCGGAGGAUGGCCCCAGGUCUCCGUGGUCGUGGACCGGUGACUCCGGUCCAUCCGACAUCAUCUCCAGGUCUCCCUGCUCACCCUGCCAGUACAGCUGUGGCCCCGGCCCUGACCAGGAAGCCUCAGAGAGGGAGGAGCCUGGUUGCACUCUCCGAGGGGAGCGUGUCGGAACUUCCGCGGGUGGGAGGAGGAGACCUGGGAGGACGGAGCGCAGAAUGAGGCAGAAGGAGCGAAUAAGGGAAGAGAGAAAAACAAAGGUGCUGAACAUCUACUCCAAGCUCCAGGACAGAGGUGCCCUCCAGCCGAGCCACAACCGGGGGCGCUCCAAGUUCGAGGACUUCAACUUCUUGGCAAAGUAUUGCAUUUUCAGCCAGGAGAAACUGACAGAAUACAAAAGGGCUUUUGAAGCGGUGGACAGUGACAGAGAUGGUUACAUCUCCUGCUUGCAAGUGCUGUUGGGACUGAAGAAGAUCAUCCCUUCAGAACUGCUGUCUGAUGAGGAAGAGAUCUACGUCUACAGAAUACUCGAAAUGGUGGAUUUCAGGGUGACAGAUGGACUUACAGACCUGCGGCUCUUUGCGGUGAUUGCCAGUCUGGCACAGAAAAUAGCCACCAUGGAUGUGUUCAUGCGUUCCCUUAUAAGCAAAAUGGACUUUCGUUCUUUGGAGUUGAAGCUUUACAAGGCAAAGCAGCUGUUCCUGUUCCUGCUGGAGGGGCAGUCAGGAGGCUCUGUAGCCCAGCAAGGCUGUAUCAGCGCAGAGCAGCUCCUGGUGGAGCUGAAGGCCGGGGGCGUCCGACCGGAACAAGAGGAAGCCAUCAAACAGGAGCUCCAACACGUCGGCUCCCUGGACCUGCUGGACUUCCUGGCGUACCUGCCCCUCUUCCUCCUCAUCCACAACUCGGUCAUCACCAACCCACUGGAUGACUCCAGCAACCUGUGAUGUCAUCCUUUACCCAGGGUGGACUCAGUUCUAUUGUAUCCUGCCUCUACACGGUGGUUACAAAGUUACACGCUCACUUGCUGAAGAUCGUCCUCCUUUUUUUUUCCCCCUUCUUAUUUUAGUAGUUGGGAACACUUUUAAUGUUGUUGGGUUUUUUUUGUGUGUCGUCUGAGGCGUUUCUUCAAAAGGGCUUUGGAAACUCCCUUUGGAAUAUGUAUUUAGAAAUGACCUACCCCUGUGCUUUGGGCUACAGAAGGUGGACAUUUAGGCUUGAGAAUGGUGCUGUCUAUGGUACUGAAAUAUGUGGGGCUUUUCAAUUGCAGUUCAUGUUGAACAAGUAAUUCACUGAAUACGGCCAUAACAGGUUUAGACUCUAAUAAGGAUGUGUUGCUAAUUGUCUGCCAAAUGUUAAAAUGCGGCCACAAAUUGAAAAUCAUGCAAAACCUGCUGUUGAUAUGAGCGUCUGAUUUAUGCCAGACCCUUGCACUGUUUAUUCCGACGGGAAUAUGAUGGCUCACAACUUCAGCAUCUUGAUGAUGUGCCAUUAUCAAAAUAAAAAAGGGCAAGUGUAGUCUAACCUAAAUCUCCUAUGUGUUUUCAAUCUCUUAGCUUAAGGUGAGAGCGUCCGGAAAGAAAUUGCUGAUUAGAUAUGGCAGUGUGCUCUUUAUUUUCCAUCACGCUUCACAGAGUCGGUGAGGAAAGCAUUAAUGCACUCUGACAGGCGGUUACGGAAUUGUUCGGACCAUUCAUUGCUUUUUUCGGGUGGCUGUUUCAUACAAAUGCUAUAAUGCCUAAUAAGGGUACCAAAGAGCGCCGCAAAUAUUGCCGGUUUUUUCUUCUUCUUGCAAAUAGCAGAUGUUGUUGCUGGUGUAGUUUCAGUGCCUUAACAACACAGUUGACUUACUCUAACAUUUAAAAUCUCUACACAAGUACAAUUUACAAAUGUUCAAAUGGAUCAUCAAAAUGGCAGUCUACCCAUAUAUCAGUCCAAGCAAGAUAGUAAAAAUCUAAAUCUACUUAACAAGGCAGAAAUAAAUGGAAAGGGACUAGCAUUCAGUACCAGUGUCCACAAUAAACGUGAGACAGUAGCGUGGAGCGAAUGGGUGCAUGCUGGUGGUAGAUUAUGCAUGUGUACAUUGAGUGUGGGUGAUUGAGUUAUUGAGAGAGAGGGUGUGUUAGUUGAGUGUGUGUGAUUGUGAAUGCGAUGACUGCGUGUAAAUGAGCUGGUUGUGUAUGUGGCCCUAGGGUGCAGGUUAGAGUGCAGGGCGGAAAGGUACAAUCCCAUUUCCAAAAGAGUUGGGACGCUGCGUAAAAUGUAAAUAACAACAAAAUGCAAUGAUGUGCAAAUCAUUUCACCCCUAUAUUUAAUAGAAAAGAGUACAAAGACAACAUAUCAAAUGUUGAAACUGAGACAUUUUAUUGUUUCUUGAAAAAUAUAUGCCCACUUUUAAAAAGCUGGGACAGAGGCAACAAAACACUAGAAAAGUUGUGUAAUGCUAAAACUAAACCUGGUGGAAUAUCACACAACUAAUUAAGUUAUUUGGCAACAGGUCAGUAACAUGAUUGACUAUUAAAAGAUCAUUCCAGAGAGGAUGGGUCUGUCAGAAGUGAGGGGUUCACCACUCGGAAAGACUGCGCAGGCAAAUAGUGCAACAAUUAAAAAAUAACCUUUCUCAACGUAGCAUUGCAAAGAGUUUGGGGAUCUCAUCACCUACGGUACAUAAUAAUAUAAAAAGAUUCAGACAACCUGGAGAAAUCUUUGUCUGCAAGGGACAAGGCCAAAAACCAAUUUUGGAUGGUCAUGAUCUUCAGGCCCUCAGGCUGCACUGCAUUAAAAACAGACACAAUUCUGUAGUGGAAAUCACUGCAUGGGCUCAGGAACACUUACAAAAUCCAUUGUGUGUGAACACAGUAUGUCGCUGCAUCCACAAAUGCAAGUUAAAACUUCACCAUGCAAAGAAGAAACCAUACAUAAACAACUUCCAGAACCAUUGUUGCUUUCUCUGGGCCCAAACUCAUUUAAGAUGGACUGAGGCAAAGUGGAAAACUCUCCUGUGGUCUGAUGAAUCCAAAUUUGAAAUUACAUUUUUGAAUCAUGGAUGCCGGAAUCAUGGAUGCCUCUGGACUAAAGAGAGGGACCACCCAGCUUAUCAUCAGUGCACAGUUCAAAGCCAGCAACUGUGAUUCUAUGGGGGUGCAUGUGGCAUGGGUGAGUUGCAAUUAUGUGAAGGCACCAUUAAUGCUGAACAAUGUAUGCAGGUUUUGGAGCAACAUAUGCUACCACCCAGAUGAUGUCUUUUUCAGAGGAGGCUUUGCUUAUUUCAGCAAGACAAUGCUAAACCACAUUCUGCACAUAUUACAACAGCAUGGCUCCAUAGUAAAAGGGUCUGGGUGCUAAACUGGCCUGUCUGCAGUCCAGACCCGUCACCCAUUGAAAACAUUUGGCACAUUAUGAAACGAAGAAUAUGACAAAGGAGACCCCGAACUGUUGAGCAGCUGAAAUCCCAUAUCAAGCAAGAAUGGUAAUACAUUGCACUUUUCAAAACUACUGCAAUUUUUCUCCUCAGUUCCCAAACGCUUGCUGAGUAUUGUUAAAAGAGCUGAUGCAACACAGUGGUAAACCUGUUCUGUCCCAACUUUUUUUGAAACAUGUUGCUGGCAUCAAAUUCAAAACAAUAACAUUUCUGUUUAAACAUUUCAUAUGUUUUCUUUGUACUAUUUUCAAUUAAAUAUAGGGAUAAAUGGUUUACACAUCAUUGAAUUUUUUUGCUGCAUUUUAUGCAGCAUCCCAACUGACCAAACUUAACAUUUCUUAUUCUUCUUUCCAUUAAAUGUCAAACAGUAAAAUGUAAGCAAACUUUUAAACUGAAAUUUUUUCUCUAUGGCAAAAUGCAUGUGGCUAUCCAAACCCAGAGCCACUAGGGUACAUCCCAAAUGUUUUAUUUUUGUGCGCCCCACCUUUGGCCUUGAGGCUUUAUUUUUCAACAAGCUCUACUAAAAUGAAUGUAGGCCUACAGAAGCCCUGCCCUGGAAGAUAUUUUUGUGAUUGUAUUUAACCGAAUAAAUCGUUAAUGUAACAUGAGCUAUGCAGUUCAUUUCUGUCAUGGAAUGCUUUAUAGAAUUGUGGUAAAAUCACAGGUUAAUAAGUG